GAUGAACGCUGACCGAAUGCUUAACACAUGCAAGUCCACUUGAACUUCGGUUUGGGUGGCGGACGGGUGAGUAACGCGUAAAGAACUUGCCUCACAGCUAGGGACAACAUUUGGAAACGAAUGCUAAUACCUGAUAUUAUGAUUUUAGGGCAUCCUAGAAUUAUGAAAGCUAUAUGCGCUGUGAGAGAGCUUUGCGUCCCAUUAGCUAGUUGGAGAGGUAACGGCUCACCAAGGCGAUGAUGGGUAGCCGGCCUGAGAGGGUGAACGGCCACAAGGGGACUGAGACACGGCCCUUACUCCUACGGGAGGCAGCAGUGGGGAAUAUUGGACAAUGGACCAAGAGUCUGAUCCAGCAAUUCUGUGUGCACGAUGAAGUUUUUCGGAAUGUAAAGUGCUUUCAGUUGGGAAGAAAAAAAUGACGGUACCAACAGAAGAAGUGACGGCUAAAUACGUG
RNAcentral lists this ribosomal RNA (454 nucleotides) under uncultured bacterium. RNAcentral describes it as "partial 16S ribosomal RNA". It matches the Rfam family "Bacterial small subunit ribosomal RNA", at positions 28 to 507 of the family's 1533-position model. The record is from RNAcentral.